UUUAUGGAGAGUUUGAUCCUGGCUCAGGAUGAACGCUGGCGGCGUGCCUAAUACAUGCAAGUCGAGCGAACGGACGAGAAGCUUGCUUCUCUGAUGUUAGCGGCGGACGGGUGAGUAACACGUGGAUAACCUACCUAUAAGACUGGGAUAACUUCGGGAAACCGGAGCUAAUACCGGAUAAUAUUUUGAACCGCAUGGUUCAAAAGUGAAAGACGGUCUUGCUGUCACUUAUAGAUGGAUCCGCGCUGCAUUAGCUAGUUGGUAAGGUAACGGCUUACCAAGGCAACGAUGCAUAGCCGACCUGAGAGGGUGAUCGGCCACACUGGAACUGAGACACGGUCCAGACUCCUACGGGAGGCGACAGUAGGGAAUCUUCCGCAAUGGGCGAAAGCCUGACGGAGCAACGCGUGAGUGAUGAAGGUCUUCGGAUCGUAAAACUCUGUUAUUAGGGAAGAACAUAUGUGUAAGUAACUGUGCACAUCUUGACGGUACCUAAUCAGAAAGCCACGGCUAACUACGUGCCAGCGUACGCGGUAAUACGUAGGUGGCAAGCGUUAUCCGGAAUUAUUGGGCGUAAAGCGCGCGUAGGCGGUUUUUUAAGUCUGAUGUGAAAGCCCACGGCUCAACCGUGGAGGGUCAUUGGAAACUGGAAAACUUGAGUGCAGAAGAGGAAAGUGGAAUUCCAUGUGUAGCGGUGAAAUGCGCAGAGAUAUGGAGGAACACCAGUGGCGAAGGCGACUUUCUGGUCUGUAACUGACGCUGAUGUGCGAAAGCGUGGGGAUCAAACAGGAUUAGAUACCCUGGUAGUCCACGCCGUAAACGAUGAGUGCUAAGUGUUAGGGGGUUUCCGCCCCUUAGUGCUGCAGCUAACGCAUUAAGCACUCCGCCUGGGGAGUACGACCGCAAGGUUGAAACUCAAAGGAAUUGACGGGGACCCGCACAAGCGGUGGAGCAUGUGGUUUAAUUCGAAGCAACGCGAAGAACCUUACCAAAUCUUGACAUCCUUUGACAACUCUAGAGAUAGAGCUUUCCCCUUCGGGGGACAAAGUGACAGGUGGUGCAUGGUUGUCGUCAGCUCGUGUCGUGAGAUGUUGGGUUAAGUCCCGCAACGAGCGCAACCCUUAAGCUUAGUUGCCAUCAUUAAGUUGGGCACUCUAAGUUGACUGCCGGUGACAAACCGGAGGAAGGUGGGGAUGACGUCAAAUCAUCAUGCCCCUUAUGAUUUGGGCUACACACGUGCUACAAUGGACAAUACAAAGGGCAGCGAAACCGCGAGGUCAAGCAAAUCCCAUAAAGUUGUUCUCAGUUCGGAUUGUAGUCUGCAACUCGACUACAUGAAGCUGGAAUCGCUAGUAAUCGUAGAUCAGCAUGCUACGGUGAAUACGUUCCCGGGUCUUGUACACACCGCCCGUCACACCACGAGAGUUUGUAACACCCGAAGCCGGUGGAGUAACCUUUUAGGAGCUAGCCGUCGAAGGUGGGACAAAUGAUUGGGGUGAAGUCGUAACAAGGUAGCCGUAUCGGAAGGUGCGGCUGGAUCACCUCCUUU
RNAcentral lists this ribosomal RNA (1549 nucleotides) under Staphylococcus aureus. RNAcentral describes it as "16S ribosomal RNA". It matches the Rfam family "Bacterial small subunit ribosomal RNA". The record is from RNAcentral. Lineage: Bacteria; Bacillati; Bacillota; Bacilli; Caryophanales; Staphylococcaceae.